CUACGGGACGCAGCAGUGGGGAAUAUUGGGCAAUGGGCGCAAGCCUGACCCAGCAACGCCGCGUGAGGGAAGAAGGUUUUCGGAUUGUAAACCUCUGUCCUUGGGGACGAAGAAGUGACGGUACCCAAGGAGGAAGCUCCGGCUAACUACGUGCCAGCAGCCGCGGUAAUACGUAGGGAGCAAGCGUUGUCCGGAAUUACUGGGCGUAAAGGGUGCGUAGGCGGCAUAUUAAGUCAGGUGUGGAAUACUCGGGCUCAACCCGGGGGCUGCAUUUGAAACUGAUAUGCUUGAGUGUGAGAGAGGAAAGUGGAAUUCCUAGUGUAGCGGUGGAAUGCGUAGAUAUUAGGAGGAACACCAGUGGCGAAGGCGACUUUCUGGCUCAUAACUGACGCUGAGGCACGAAAGCGUGGGGAGCAAACAGGAUUAGAUACCCUUGUAGUC
Molecule: ribosomal RNA, 441 nt
Filed under: uncultured bacterium
Lineage: Bacteria
Description: partial 16S ribosomal RNA
Rfam family: Bacterial small subunit ribosomal RNA
Source: RNAcentral